UGGGGAAUAUUGCACAAUGGGGGAAACCCUGAUGCAGCGACGCCGCGUGAGUGAAGAAGUAUUUCGGUAUGUAAAGCUCUGUCAGCAGGGAAGAAGAAAGACGGUACCUGACCAAGAAGCCCCGGCUAACUACGUGCCAGCAGCCGCGGUAAUACGUAGGGGGCAAGCGUUAUCCGGAAUCACUGGGUGUAAAGGGAGCGUAGACGGCUGUGCAAGCCUGGAGUGAAAGGCGGGGGCCCAACCCCCGGACUGCUCUGGGAACUGCAAAGCUGGAGUGCAGGAGAGGUAAGUGGAAUUCCUGGUGUAGCGGUGAAAUGCGUAGAUAUCAGGAGGAACACCAGUGGCGAAGGCGGCUUACUGGACUGUAACUGACGUUGAGGCUCGAAAGCGUGGGGAGCAA
RNAcentral lists this ribosomal RNA (400 nucleotides) under uncultured bacterium. Its description in RNAcentral is "bacterial SSU rRNA". It matches the Rfam family "Bacterial small subunit ribosomal RNA", at positions 355 to 771 of the family's 1533-position model. The record is from RNAcentral.